UACGAAGGGGGCUAGCGUUGCUCGGAAUUACUGGGCGUAAAGGGCGCGUAGGCGGCCAACUUAGUCAGAGGUGAAAGCCCAGGGCUCAACCUUGGAAUUGCCUUUGAUACUGGUUGUCUUGAGUUCGGGAGAGGUGAGUGGAAUGCCGAGUGUAGAGGUGAAAUUCGUAGAUAUUCGGCGGAACACCAGUGGCGAAGGCGACUCACUGGCCCGAUACUGACGCUGAGGCGCGAAAGCGUGGGGAGCAAACAGG
RNAcentral lists this ribosomal RNA (253 nucleotides) under uncultured bacterium. Its description in RNAcentral is "partial 16S ribosomal RNA". It matches the Rfam family "Bacterial small subunit ribosomal RNA", at positions 524 to 776 of the family's 1533-position model. The record is from RNAcentral.